Molecule: RNA transcript, 758 nt
Organism: Mus pahari (shrew mouse)
Lineage: Eukaryota; Metazoa; Chordata; Mammalia; Rodentia; Muridae
Gene name: eukaryotic translation initiation factor 4H pseudogene
Exons: 1
Source: RefSeq, a predicted model, not a curated record
AUGGUGGACUUCGAUACCUACGUUGAUCGGACCUACAGCAGCUUCGGCGGCGGUAGAGGGUCCCGAGGCAGUGCUGGUGGCCAUGGGUCCCGAAGCCAGAAGGAGCUACCCACAGAGCCCCCCCUACACAGCUUAUGUAGGAAAUCUCCCUUUUAACACAGUUCAGGGUGACAUAGAUGCUAUCUUUAAGGAUCUCAACAUAUGGAGUGUGCGGCUAGUCAGAGACAAAGACACAGACAAAUUUAAAGGGUUCUGCUAUGUAGAAUUUGAUGAGGUGGAUUCCCUGAAGGAGGCUCUGACUUAUGACGGUGCACUCUUGGGUGACCGGUCACUUCGUGUGGACAUUGCAGAAGGCAGAAAACAAGAUAAAGGUGGCUUUGGAUUCAGGAAAGGCGGACCUUAUGACAGAGGAAUGGGUGGCUCUCGAGAAUCUAGAGGUGGAUGGGAUUCCCGGGAUGACUUCAACUCUGGCUACAGGGCUACAGGGAUGACUUCUUAGGGGGUGGGGGUGGGGCAGUCGCCCUGGGGACCGGCGAGCAGGCCCUCCAAAGGGGAGUCGAUUUCGAGAUGGCCCUCCUCUGCGUGGCUCCAACAUGGACUUCAGAGAGCCCACAGAAGAGGAAUGAGCACAGAGACCGUGGGUGCAGCUUAAACCUCUGACGGUGGCAACGCCCCUCAAUCAAGUAGCCAACCCCAACUCAGCCAUCUUCAGGGGAGCUAGGCCCAGAGAGGAAGUGGUUCAGAAAGAGCAAGGAUGA